UGGGGAAUUUUGGACAAUGGGGGCAACCCUGAUCCAGCCAUGCCGCGUGAGUGAAGAAGGCCUUCGGGUUGUAAAGCUCUUUCAGCCGGAAAGAAAACGCACGGGUUAAUACCUUGUGUGGAUGACGGUACCGGAAGAAGAAGCACCGGCUAACUACGUGCCAGCAGCCGCGGUAAUACGUAGGGUGCGAGCGUUAAUCGGAAUUACUGGGCGUAAAGCGUGCGCAGGCGGUUUUGUAAGACAGAUGUGAAAUCCCCGGGCUUAACCUGGGAACUGCAUUUGUGACUGCAAGACUAGAGUACGGCAGAGGGGGGUAGAAUUCCACGUGUAGCAGUGAAAUGCGUAGAUAUGUGGAGGAAUACCGAUGGCGAAGGCAGCCCCCUGGGUCGAUACUGACGCUCAUGCACGAAAGCGUGGAGAGCAAACAGGAUUAGAUACCCUGGUAGUCCACGCCCUAAACGAUGUCAACUAGGUGUUGGGGGAGGAGACUUCCUUAGUACCGCAGCUAACGCGUGAAGUUGACCGCCUGGGGAGUACGGCCGCAAGGU
This 548-nucleotide ribosomal RNA is filed under the name uncultured bacterium. Its description in RNAcentral is "bacterial SSU rRNA". It matches the Rfam family "Bacterial small subunit ribosomal RNA", at positions 355 to 894 of the family's 1533-position model. The record is from RNAcentral.